CUUUCAUGUGAUUGGAGGGCGACUUUAGAAUGUUGUGUUAUGUAAGGGACAGCGGCCUCUAGGCUCGGAGGAACUGGUGGCGUCACUUAAUCUACAGGUGUAGCCUGCGGACGAUUAACAGUCGAAUAGGACCAUCAGAAGACAGAAAUUCGACCACUUACCUGCACACUAGGAGCAAUAUACAACCAAUAAACCUAUCAACCCACCCGUCUUUGGAAUGUGGGAGGAAACUGGAGUGCCUGGAGGAAACCACUGCAAUCACAGGGAGAAGCCACAAACUCCUCACAGACAACACUGAGGUCAGGGUUGAACCUGGGUCUCUAGUGCUGAGAGGCAGCACCUUUACCAGCUGUGCCAGGAAACAAAAUAAAUUAAGUAUUUCAACAAAGCAAGACCAUCCUUUUGAAAAACAGCUGACAACAAAUUGGUUAGCAGCCCAGACCCUCGAUUCAGCACAACAGCCCUGAGCCUGGUACCAGUGCCAAGUCCAGUGACUGAGCAGCAGGUCACAGGCACUGCAUCUGACCUCCAAUGUAUUCCUGACAUCUGUGCUGCCUGAAGAGGACCACAUUCUGGCCACUGUUACAGUUUGCUCAGUGCAAAUUCUUUCAUGUGAUUGCCUACUCAUCCAGCUUGAUGAUAUCACAACAAUCCUCCAAAAUCUGACUGCAGCAGGUAUUGGUAAAGGAGAAGUCCAUAGAUUGCUGGAUUCUUGGAGUCCUUUCUUUGAGGGUAGGCAGGAGUCCUGCCAAGACCAUCACUACCAAAGCCUGGAAGUAAGUGAAUAACCUCCUCCAGGUAGUCAACAAUGAACAAUAUGAGGAAGGCCACCCAGAAAGGAGAAGGGAGUCUCACAAUAUCUGCACCUCAAAGCUGGAGGAGACUGUCCUCCUCAUGGGCAGAGGGAUACUGAGGCCCAGACCAACUCACAGAGGGGCCAUGUUAAUCUGCCAGGUAUGCUCAUUAACAGUGUUUCCUUGUGAUUCCUACAUCCUCUUUGAGUUGAUCUACAGUAAACAUCGUCCUUAGUAUCAAUCAUCACUGGAAUUCACUGGAAGUAGGUGGUCCAUGUAUCCAUAUAGCUUCAGUCAACUCACUUCAGCUAUAUGAAGGCGUUAUAACAUAACACUGACCACAAGGAAGCUCUUCUAAUGAUACACAACCAUUUAUUUCCUGUUGAGGCAAAGAGCAGUCAAUGUCGCCUGACCAAGAUGUCACCUGGUCCUCACUGAAAUCAGUGAAAUAAAUGAAAUCAUUUCUUUGUGAAUACAUUGCCUCGGGGACUUCUCUGAGCAGUGAGCAGCAAACUGGAAGACAUGGCAGAUUUCUGCUGCAGCCAUUUGGAAAGGAAGUUCAGAGUUAAGCAUAACCUUGACUGAGAGAGCAGUCCAGGCACAAGAGUGUCGACAAAAGUCUAGCUGUAGCAUUUCACUCAUCUCAGUGAUGGCAACUCUGGAAAACCCGAAGCCUACAGAUACACUGAGGUCCAGGUUGGAUGUGGUGUCUCUGAAGAAUUUCUGGAAGUAGCCUCUGCACUGAUGGAGACAUCUUGGCCUCCUGCUCCAAACUCUUCCAGUUACCCCAAAUCCACAAUAGUGCUUCUACCACAGUACCUAAUACAUGAGUAUCUCAGCAGCUAAUGCCAGAGAAAGCACACGCUAACAGUAGCACACUCUGUGAACUUAAGUGUCUGAGGUGACUUCUCCAGAAUUGAUUACAAGCGCUAUCUAUUUUGGAUAAAAUUGCUUUUUGCAUUAAUCAAAUGCAUUUUAUAUAGGCUAUAAAAAUUAAUGUUGCAGCACAAUCAGAACAUUAUGCUGCAUUGAUAAAUAAGAUCAUAAUUUACAAAACAGUUUGCUUUGUUCCAUCCACGUGUCUAUGAUUCUUAGGGUAUUGUUACGAACCAGCAACAAAAGAAACACACUGAAUCAUGAUUCAGUGUUAAAAACUACUUUAUUAAUCACUACUUAUGAUAAUGAGAAAAGUAAAAGUAAAAAUGUUAGAAUGUUAGAAGUAAAAAUGUUAAACCUUGAACAUUAACCCCAAAACUAAACUCGUCGUGUGUGUGGGGCAAAGUCCCAAACUCCAAGUCCAGGAAUGGUUAUUAAAGUUCAGUUCUGCAAGCCAUAAGGUGAAACAUGAGCAAAGGCUUCUUCAACAACCACCGUUGUCUGAAGGUAAAACAUAGAUGUAGAGAACAGAGAGAGUAAUUACGAAAUCCAAAUGUUCCACGAUGGAACCCAAACGACACCUCAGUGUUCACUCGGUAGUGACUUCCUCACCCCGAAAAGCAUCUGAAUUGUCGUCGUCCACACAAAUACCUGUUUCCCUCUACAGGUCAGCAACAAAGUGAACUCCACCGGAUUACUCCCAAUUUCCAUACGUGGAUUGUAGUAACAGACACAGUUAUUGUUUCUCAUCCAUCGAUAGAGAAACUAGCAGGCUGGUGUCUCUCUCUCUCUCUCCUCUGACUGACUUCGAUUGACUUCUUCAACAACAUCAUUACGUCCUUUAUCUUCUGUUGACGUAAACACGCCCCACACACACACACACACCACUAUGCUCUAUCUUAAAGGGACAUUCACCUAGUCCGUAACAGUAUAGAUUCAUGCUGGGAUAUAAUUUGAUUGUUAUGUACAUUCAUCCAAUGAACCUUUAGCAAAUUUUGUAAAUUGUAUACAAAAUACUAAACAAAGUUGAACCCUUGCUAAUGGGUUUGCUCCCACAUCCUAAAAUGGUGGUACUGUAAGUUGCCCCUAGUGUUGGUGGGUAGUAAGAGAAUUAGGGAUAGUUGAGUCAUGUGAGAGAAUAGGUUGCAGAGAAAUAAGUGGGGGAAUGGCACUGAUGUAAAUGCUGUGAGAGCUGGCAAAGACUUGAUGGGCUGAAUAGUCUCCAUCUAGGUUGUGAAGAAUAUGAAAAGCCUUGUUGCAGUCAAAAUAAUUAAUGCUAAUUUGGUCAUGGUAAGUAUAUAGCUGUAUGUGCACAUUACCCGUGACCACAUUAAACUGCAGCGAAUUGUGGACACAGCUCAGCAAAUCAUGGAAACCAGCCUCCCCUCCAAUGGACUCUGUCUAUACUUCUUGCUGCCUCGGUAAAGCAGCCAGCACAAUCAAAGAUGCCACCCAUCCUGAACAUUUCCUCUUCUCCCCUCUCCCAGUGGGCAGAAGAUACUAAAGCCUGAAAGCAUGUACCACCAGGCUCAAGGGCAGCUUCUGUCCCACUGUUAUAAGACUAUUGAAUGGUUCCCUAGUACAACAAGAUGGUCUCUUGACCUCACAAUCGACCUUGUUAUGACUUUGCAACUUAUUGUCUACCUGCACUGCACUCUCUCUGUAGCUGUUACACUUUAUUCUGCAUUCUGUUAUCGUUUUACCUUGCACUACCUCAAUGCACUGUGUAAUGAAUUGAUCUGUAUGAAUGGUAUGCAAGACAAGU
Long non-coding RNA from Pristis pectinata (smalltooth sawfish), 3435 nucleotides. RefSeq lists it as uncharacterized. The record is from RefSeq and is a predicted model, not a curated record. Lineage: Eukaryota; Metazoa; Chordata; Chondrichthyes; Rhinopristiformes; Pristidae. The transcript has 6 exons.